CAAGUCCAAGAUUUUUCUUUUAUUUAUUUUUAUUUAUUUAUUUAUUUAUUUAUUAUUAUUAUUAUUAUUAUUAUUUAUUUUCAUUUUUCGUUUUUUUUUUCGAAACGCGUGGUCUUCGCCUAGCGAGCAUGACAGUUCAUGAACAAACUUUUGCUCCUUCAAGAUUAACGUUUUGACUGAUGAAUAGACCCCAUUUGAAC
This 200-nucleotide long non-coding RNA is filed under the name Lathyrus oleraceus (garden pea). RNAcentral describes it as "Pisum sativum (pea) long non-coding RNA (PSAT_LNC026748)". The record is from RNAcentral. Lineage: Eukaryota; Viridiplantae; Streptophyta; Magnoliopsida; Fabales; Fabaceae.